CAGCCGCCACGGUAAUACGUAGGGUGCAAGAGUUAAUCGGAAUUACUGGGCGUAGAGCGUGCGCAGGCGGUCCGCUAAGACAGAUGUGAAAUCCCCGGGCUUAACCUGGGAACUGCAUUUGUGACUGGCGGGCUAGAGUAUGGCAGAGGGGGGUAGAAUUCCACGUGUAGCAGUGAAAUGCGUAGAGAUGUGGAGGAAUACCGAUGGCGAAGGCAGCCCCCUGGGCCAAUACUGACGCUCAUGCACGAAAGCGUGGGGAGCAAACAGGAUUAGAUACCCCCGUAGUCCCUGUCUCUUAUAC
This 301-nucleotide ribosomal RNA is filed under the name uncultured bacterium. RNAcentral describes it as "partial 16S ribosomal RNA". It matches the Rfam family "Bacterial small subunit ribosomal RNA", at positions 509 to 807 of the family's 1533-position model. The record is from RNAcentral.